Molecule: ribosomal RNA, 671 nt
Filed under: Tuber sp. J56
Lineage: Eukaryota; Fungi; Ascomycota; Pezizomycetes; Pezizales; Tuberaceae
Description: eukaryotic LSU rRNA
Rfam family: Eukaryotic large subunit ribosomal RNA
Source: RNAcentral
UUGACCUCGGAUCAGGUAGGGAUACCCGCUGAACUUAAGCAUAUCAAUAAGCGGAGGAAAAGAAACCAACAGGGAUUGCCUUAGUAACGGCGAGUGAAGCGGCAAAAGCUCAAAUUUGAAAUCUGACACCUCUGGUGUUCGAGUUGUAAUUUGGAGAGGCAUCUUCAGGAGUGGCCCAGCCUAUGUACCUUGGAACAGGACGUCAUAGAGGGUGAGAAUCCCGUUCUUGGCUGGAUGUUCACUCCCGUAUGUAGUGUCUUCUACGAGUCGAGUUGUUUGGGAAUGCAGCUCAAAAUGGGUGGUAAAUUUCAUCUAAAGCUAAAUAUUGGCGAGAGACCGAUAGCGCACAAGUAGAGUGAUCGAAAGAUGAAAAGCACUUUGAAAAUAGAGUCAAACAGUACGUGAAAUUGUUGAAAGGGAAGCGCUUGAGACCAGAGUCAGCCUUUGGCAAACAACUGUCCUUCUGGGUGGUGCACUUGUUAUUGGUUGGGCCAGCAUCGGUUGGGACGGUGGGAUAAAGGCUUGGGAAAUGUGACUCCUUUAUGGAGUGUUAUAGUCCCAGGUGACAUGCCAUCAGUYCCGACCGUGGACCGCGCCUCGGCUCGGAUGCUGGCUUAAUGGUCUUCAGCGACCCGUCUUGAAACACGGACCAAGGAGUCUAACGUCUAUGC